GCGCUCACACUGGUAGCACAUAUACGAAAACUGGAACCACACAGAGAAGAUUAGCUGGCCUCUGCGCAAGGAUGAUAUGCAAAUUCGUGAAACAUUCCCUUUUUUU
Molecule: non-coding RNA, 106 nt
Organism: Erinaceus europaeus (western European hedgehog)
Lineage: Eukaryota; Metazoa; Chordata; Mammalia; Eulipotyphla; Erinaceidae
Source: Rfam